UACCCAGGAUGUUCUAAAUUACUUGGGCGUGGCAUGGUUUCUUCUACUAAAAGAGAUUAGGAACUGGUGUGCGGCAUGGAAUUCUCCACUUGGUUUUGUGACUCUCAUGCGCUUUAUUUAUCAUCCAGGCAUUGUUCAUAACAAUUUCAAAAGUGAGUGGGUUAAGGUGAGGAAAGAGAAGACCAGCAGAGGUUAUGGAACAGUGGUCCAGAGUGAGACCACCGGCCAGGUGACCACCAGAACCAAACUUCAGAGCACUUCAUGUCCGAAUAUUCGCUGGAACACUCCCACCUGCAAAGGCAUUACUUUGGGGCCAUGGAUCAUUUACCAUCAAGCUGACAUUCAACCCUGGUUCGGUGAGGAUGAUGAUGAGUUUUGUUUUUUAAGUAUUCAAAAACAAUUUCCACAACGCAGCAUCAGAGAUAAGUGAGAACCAUGCACUUGACUAAAUGUUUGGUUUGUUUUUUUAAAAACGCUAGUUAUAAAAUUCAUUGACAUGAGGGAGAAAAAUUCACAAGGGCCAUUUAUGCAUGGUAUCCUACAGAUGAUUAUAAAAGUUUAUUAAUAUUUUUGAAUUUUUAACUCUGAC
This is a long non-coding RNA of Pan paniscus (pygmy chimpanzee), 589 nucleotides long. NCBI's taxonomy places the organism in Eukaryota, Metazoa, Chordata, Mammalia, Primates, Hominidae. The record is from Ensembl.